This 562-nucleotide ribosomal RNA is filed under the name uncultured bacterium. RNAcentral's name for it is "partial 16S ribosomal RNA". It matches the Rfam family "Bacterial small subunit ribosomal RNA", at positions 355 to 902 of the family's 1533-position model. The record is from RNAcentral.
UGGGGAAUAUUGGACAAUGGGCGCAAGCCUGAUCCAGCCAUGCCGCGUGUGUGAAGAAGGCCUUCGGGUUGUAAAGCACUUUUGUCCGGAAAGAAAUCCUGUCGGCUAAUACCCGGCGGGGAUGACGGUACCGGAAGAAUAAGCACCGGCUAACUUCGUGCCAGCAGCCGCGGUAAUACGAAGGGUGCAAGCGUUACUCGGAAUUACUGGGCGUAAAGCGUGCGUAGGUGGUUUGUUAAGUCUGAUGUGAAAGCCCUGGGCUCAAACCUGGGAACUGCAUUGGAUACUGGCUUACUAGAGUGCGGUAGAGGGUGGCGGAAUUCCCGGUGUAGCAGUGAAAAUGCGUAGAUAUCGGGAGGAACAUCCGUGGCGAAGGCGGCCACCUGGACCAGCACUGACACUGAGGCACGAAAAGCGUGGGGGAGCAAAACAGGAUUAGAUACCCUGGUAGUCCACGCCCUAAAACGAUGCGACUGGAUGUUGGGAGCAACUAGGCUCUCAGUAUCGAAAGCUAACGCGUUAAGUUCGCCGCCUGGGAAGUACGGUCGCAAGACUGAAACUC